This 251-nucleotide ribosomal RNA is filed under the name uncultured prokaryote. RNAcentral's name for it is "partial 16S rRNA". It matches the Rfam family "Archaeal small subunit ribosomal RNA", at positions 475 to 726 of the family's 1478-position model. The record is from RNAcentral.
ACCGGCAGCUCAAGUGGUGGCCAUUUUUAUUGGGCCUAAAGCGUUCGUAGCCGGUUUGAUAAGUCUCUGGUGAAAUCCCGCAGCUUAACUGUGGGACUUGCUGGAGAUACUAUUAGACUUGAGGUCGGGAGAGGUUAGGGGUACUCCCAGGGUGGGGGGAAAUCCUAUAAACCCGGGGAGGACACCCUGGGCCGAGGCCGCUUACCGGGAAGGACCCGGAGGUGAAGUACGAAAGCCAGGGGCGCGAACCG